Molecule: long non-coding RNA, 169 nt
Filed under: Vombatus ursinus (common wombat)
Lineage: Eukaryota; Metazoa; Chordata; Mammalia; Diprotodontia; Vombatidae
Description: lncRNA (ENSVURG00010014508.1)
Source: RNAcentral
AUGAUGGAAGUUUCCUAUUUUUAGGGGAGAGAUCACCUGGAGGGACAUAGGAGGCUGGGUUCCCUCAUCUCUCUUUCUCAUCCAGCCCCUACCCCUCACUCUGUCUGAACUGCAAAGAAGAAAAGAAGGGACAUGAGAUCUGGGUGACCAACCCAAGACCUUAUCAGGU